CCGCCUCUCGGAGCAAGCAGUCCCUUGCACCUUAACUAUCUUCUUCACUUUUUCUACUAAAACCUUCUGCUUUUAGCUGAUCAUUAACGGGUGGAAUAUUA
Non-coding RNA from Triticum aestivum (bread wheat), 101 nucleotides. Lineage: Eukaryota; Viridiplantae; Streptophyta; Magnoliopsida; Poales; Poaceae. The record is from Rfam.